CGAACGCUGGCGGCGUGCUUAACACAUGCAAGUCGAACGGAAGGCCCUGCUUUUGUGGGGUGCUCGAGUGGCGAACGGGUGAGUAACACGUGAGUAACCUGCCCUUGACUUUGGGAUAACUUCAGGAAACUGGGGCUAAUACCGGAUAGGAGCUCCUGCUGCAUGGUGGGGGUUGGAAAGUUUCGGCGGUUGGGGAUGGACUCGCGGCUUAUCAGCUUGUUGGUGGGGUAGUGGCUUACCAAGGCUUUGACGGGUAGCCGGCCUGAGAGGGUGACCGGCCACAUUGGGACUGAGAUACGGCCCAGACUCCUACGGGAGGCAGCAGUGGGGAAUAUUGCACAAUGGGCGGAAGCCUGAUGCAGCAACGCCGCGUGCGGGAUGACGGCCUUCGGGUUGUAAACCGCUUUCGCCUGUGACGAAGCGUGAGUGACGGUAAUGGGUAAAGAAGCACCGGCUAACUACGUG
Molecule: ribosomal RNA, 465 nt
Filed under: uncultured bacterium
Lineage: Bacteria
Description: partial 16S ribosomal RNA
Rfam family: Bacterial small subunit ribosomal RNA
Source: RNAcentral